ACUGCUCAGUAACACGUAGCUAAUCUGCCCUUAGGACGAGAACAACCCCGGGAAACUGGGGCUAACUCUUGAUAGGCGAAGAACUCUGGAAUGAGUCUUUACCUAAAAAGAUUCACGUUAUCCUCGUGAACCUGCCUAAGGAUGAGGCCGCGACCGAUCAGGUUGUUGGCGAGGUAAUGGCUCACCAAGCCUUUUACCGGUGCGGGCCGUGGGAGCGGGAGCCCGGAGAUGGGUACUGAGACAAGGACCCAGGCCCUACGGGGCGCAGCAGUCGCGAAACCUUUGCAAUAAGCGAAAGCUUGACAGGGCUAUCCCGAGUGCCAUCCGCUGAGGAAGGCUUUUACCCAGUCUAGAACGCUGGGGGAAUAAGGAGAGGGCAAGUCUGGUGUCAGCCGCCGCGGUAAUACCAGCUCUCCGAGUGGUGUGGAUGUUUAUUGGGCCUAAAGCAUCCGUAGCUGGCUAAGUUAGUCCCUUGUUAAAUCCACCGAAUUAAUCGUUGGAUCGCGGGGGAUACUGCUUGGCUAGGGGACGAGAGAGGCAGACGGUAUUUUCGGGGUAGGGGUGAAAUCCUAUAAUCCCGGGAAGACCACCAGUGGCGAAGGCUGUCUGCUAGAACGCGCCCGACGGUGAGGGAUGAAAGCUGGGGGAGCGAACCGGAUUAGAUACCCGGGUAGUCCCAGCUGUAAACGAUGCAGCUAGGUGUUUGGACGGCCACGUGCCGUUCUAGUGCCGCAGGGAAGCUGUUAAGCCUGCCGCCUGGGGAGUACGAUCGCAAGAUUGAAACUUAAAGGAAUUGGCGGGGGAG
This 805-nucleotide ribosomal RNA is filed under the name uncultured archaeon. RNAcentral's name for it is "bacterial SSU rRNA". It matches the Rfam family "Archaeal small subunit ribosomal RNA", at positions 85 to 876 of the family's 1478-position model. The record is from RNAcentral.